UUAUAAACUGGACCCCUGUUGUGUUCACUUAUCGCUACACUGACAACAGGUAUGGCCUAAAUCCCGUGGUCAGAAUUCUGACCACGGGAUUUAAUAAUUCGACGAGACUAGUACAUCAUGGACUAUGUUUAAUUAUGUAUUAUACUGAUAGCAAAUCAAAGAAAAAUUAGCACAUUUAUUACCCUACUGAGUUCUUGAGGGAAUAAAAGAUACCGG
Molecule: long non-coding RNA, 216 nt
Filed under: Mytilus galloprovincialis (Mediterranean mussel)
Lineage: Eukaryota; Metazoa; Mollusca; Bivalvia; Mytilida; Mytilidae
Source: RNAcentral